RNAcentral lists this ribosomal RNA (450 nucleotides) under uncultured bacterium. RNAcentral describes it as "partial 16S ribosomal RNA". It matches the Rfam family "Bacterial small subunit ribosomal RNA", at positions 354 to 796 of the family's 1533-position model. The record is from RNAcentral.
GUGGGGAAUUUUGGACAAUGGGCGCAAGCCUGAUCCAGCAAUGCCGCGUGCAGGAUGAAGGCCUUCGGGUUGUAAACUGCUUUUGUACGGAACGAAAAGCCCUGGGUUAAUACCCUGGGGUCAUGACGGUACCGUAAGAAUAAGCACCGGCUAACUACGUGCCAGCAGCCGCGGUAAUACGUAGGGUGCGAGCGUUAAUCGGAAUUACUGGGCGUAAAGCGUGCGCAGGCGGUGAUGUAAGACAGUUGUGAAAUCCCCGGGCUCAACCUGGGAACUGCAUCUGUGACUGCAUUGCUGGAGUGCGGCAGAGGGGGAUGGAAUUCCGCGUGUAGCAGUGAAAUGCGUAGAUAUGCGGAGGAACACCGAUGGCGAAGGCAAUCCCCUGGGCCUGCACUGACGCUCAUGCACGAAAGCGUGGGGAGCAAACAGGAUUAGAAACCCGGGUAGUCC